This 243-nucleotide long non-coding RNA is filed under the name Capsella grandiflora. RNAcentral describes it as "long non-coding RNA (CGRA_LNC000209)". The record is from RNAcentral. Lineage: Eukaryota; Viridiplantae; Streptophyta; Magnoliopsida; Brassicales; Brassicaceae.
UAAAAAUAGCGUUUGAUUAUUAAGAGAACAUGUUACGAACUUGCUACUACAUAGAGCUUAUACAUAAUCCUGGCAACUUAUAGAAAAAAAAUCAACAUAGCGACAGAGAGUAUUAUAUAGUCACAUAGCGACAAAGAGUAUUAUAUAGUCACAUAGCGAAGCUUAUAAACUGAGAGUAGCUAAACCAGUUUAAGAUCAUGACCGAGGCCAAGACUAAUGUAACAUGGUAACUUUAGUACCUAU